AGCAACCAGAACCUCUCUAAAAGAAGCUGCAGUCGGUAUUCAAUCUAAAGGUAUUCUUUUACCACAGAUAACUUGGACCAGGGCUCCAAGACACUAGAAACCUGCAAGAACAUUGGUGGAUACUUGAAACCUCAGGGACCAGGAACUGAGCAUAUUAAUGAGGAGGAGCAUCCUGGGCUCACUGCCAAUGGAGUCUAGAAGAAAGAGAAGAUAGGAGGUAAGAGAAAGUAUGGAGGAGAAUUCUGGGAAAUCACCCUGAAGGAAGAGGUUGGCCUUUGGCGCUCUUGCUCUUUGUAUUGAUAGAAGGGAAGAAGAGCAUUCUCAGCCUUCCUAAAAACAUCCUUUCUGCCUGGAGAUUACCUAGUGAUUGAUUGGUAAGUUCAGAUUCUGAUUGCAAAGAUUGGUUUAUCUAUUGAU
Molecule: long non-coding RNA, 417 nt
Filed under: Capra hircus (goat)
Lineage: Eukaryota; Metazoa; Chordata; Mammalia; Artiodactyla; Bovidae
Description: lncRNA (ENSCHIG00000004215.1)
Source: RNAcentral